This is a long non-coding RNA of Helianthus annuus (common sunflower), 433 nucleotides long. RefSeq lists it as uncharacterized. The transcript has 2 exons. Lineage: Eukaryota; Viridiplantae; Streptophyta; Magnoliopsida; Asterales; Asteraceae. The record is from RefSeq and is a predicted model, not a curated record.
UGCCUUUAGUUAAUGAAUUGUUCACUCGUGAAUGGUGUUUAUAUCUCUUUGUUAGUUUGAUAAACAAACAUAGGAAUCUGAAAUAAAUUGGAAUUAACAUGUUUUGAUGUUGCAUACUUGCAUCCAUGGAUGUGAGCAGCUAUUGUUUUUUUAACAUGUGGGGUUUUGGGUCGAAAGCAAUUACGGUUUCAUCUAGGCCGAGAAUUGACUCUGCAAGGCCCAGUCAAGCUUCUUCAGACUGCUCUGAUGAUGAGAUCUCGGUAAAUAACAGCAGGGAAGAAGGUUUAGAGUGUGCGAUUUGCUCGGAAUCGUUCAAUAUAGUGGAUGUUGCAUACUUGCUCUAAUGUUUGUUUGGGACAUGUGAUGGUGGGCGACAACUCAAUUUAAAGUGGCAAGAGGGAAGAGGCGAUCUACAGAGGGCUUCUCUUAAUUC